Molecule: non-coding RNA, 1441 nt
Organism: Sus scrofa (pig)
Lineage: Eukaryota; Metazoa; Chordata; Mammalia; Artiodactyla; Suidae
Source: RefSeq, a predicted model, not a curated record
AUAUGGAAGUUUCUGGGUCAGGGAUUGAAUCUGAGCCACAGCUGCGACCUAUGCCACAGCUGAGGUAAUGCUGGAUCCUUAACCCACCGUUCCAGGCCGGGGAUGGCACCUGUGUCUCUGCAGCAAUCUGACCCGCCUCAGAGACAACACCGAAUCCUAAACCACUGCGCCAUAGUGGGAACUCCAAAAAUUCAUCAUCAUUAUAAUUGUGGCUAUGUGAGAAGACAGAGCAUAAUGUCAAGCCAAAGAAGCUCUGUUCUCUGAACCCCAGAUGUUAGAAUUUUAGCCAAACACUCACCUUAAAACUGGCAGGGCAGAACUCAUUAUGCUAAAAGGAAGAGUCUGUGGGCUCCCUGAAGGCACUAAUUGGAUGAAAGGAGGAAGGAACGAGGCUAUCAACAGCUAUAAGUUUCUGCUUCCUACCUCAGAUGUGAGAUAAGGCACUGCCCUUCCUGUUCGUCCAUCUUUUGUCAUGGUUGCUCCUCUUGGUGAUGGAGCUAGCGGGCACCAUGCACAAAGGAUGCUAGUUAGGCAGUUAUGGUAGUUCAACAUGACUCAUUGGGGCUUCUCAACCAAGGCAGUCAGCAUGUACAGAAGAGGACCCAUUUCAAGAGGAUGCAGAUAGAAGAUAGCCAUCUGCAAGCCAGGAAGAAAACCCUCAUCAGGCACAGACCAGACUGGCUCCCUGAUCUUGGAUGUCCAGCCUCCAGGACUGCAAUUUAUACCUGAGUUAAUGAAGAAAUUUCUCAGCAUUGCUGGAAGCUCAUAGUAUGGGCUCUAAAAACAUAAGGUAAGUUAGUGAAUGAGACUUUUCUACGUAACUUUAAAAAUAGUUUAAUGAUGCGUCUGAACAGCGAUAUAAAAUUUAUGCAUUGUUUAUUCUCUCUCAGAAUAUAUUUGAGUGCCUUCUCUGUUUCAGGCACUGGACCAGGCACUAAGGAUACUCUUGGUAAAAGCCAAUGUCAUAGAAAUAUUUCUUGUAAUCAGGGGUGAUGUUCAAAUAUUUAACAGCUCAUACAUCCUAAUCCCAUACAAUGUGAAGUAAGGCCAGCAGGAAACAACAAAUUCUGCUGGAUCACAUACUAGCUGAGUGUCUUUAAGACCCACCUCUUCUUGGUUUCAUUACUUGUAGCCUCUGGGCCAUUCGCUGGAGAUUUUCACUUGUCCUUCAGUUGAGAGCAGGACAGCUGGGUCUCCCACCUUUGCUCUGUGUCCUCUGUUCCUGAGAUUCUGCAGUGUACCAGGCCCUUUGACUUUCCACUGAUCCUUCAAGCACUUCAGCCUUUCAGUCCCCAGGUGCCAGUUUGAAUUCUGAGUCUUCUACUUUCUCAGAUUCCAGUGAUCCUCUUUUUUCUUUCUCUUUCUUUCUUUCUUUCUGUCUGUCUGUCUGUCUUUUUAGGGCCAUACCCAUGGCAUAUGGAAGUUCCCAGGCUAGGGUCAA